Molecule: non-coding RNA, 90 nt
Filed under: Thermus thermophilus
Lineage: Bacteria; Thermotogati; Deinococcota; Deinococci; Thermales; Thermaceae
Source: RNAcentral
GGGGAAGUCCGGUGAAAGUCCGGCGCUGUCCCGCAACGGUAACCGGCCCAAGCGUCGCGCCCUCCGCCCCGGCCGGAAGCCCGAGUACCC